Lolium perenne is the source of this 1607-nucleotide long non-coding RNA. RefSeq lists it as uncharacterized. The record is from RefSeq and is a predicted model, not a curated record. Lineage: Eukaryota; Viridiplantae; Streptophyta; Magnoliopsida; Poales; Poaceae.
UCCCAGGGUAAAACAAAACUCCACAGCGACGGAAACCCUAGCCGCCAGCGCUCUGUUGUUCGCUAUCCCGCGUGCUUCUCCUCUCCGUCGCCGUCCCCAUCCUCAUCCCCGUCCACGUCCCAUCGUCCCCUCCUCUCCGCUGCCGCCCCUUCGCCUCCUCUCAGUCGCCGCCUCGCUGGGCCACCGCAUCCUCCUCCCACACACCAAUCCAAGAGGCUGUAGUGCUCGCUUACUCACCGGCGGCCGCGAGGUCGCCCCCUCCUCUUCCCCCUUUCCCCUCCUGCUUGGAGAUGAGGGUGGGGGGGGGAGAUGGAGCUGCGCAGGCAACCGUCCGCGAAGAAGAAGACAUGAUCGGGUGUCACAGGAUGGGAGGGGCGAAGCGAUCACUAGCGGCGCGAGGGGAGGAGCUCGCUGGAGCGCAGCAUUGGGAGGAAAAGGAACAGGAGGGUGGUGUAUACGUGAGGACCGAGGCGGGGCAGCAGAGGCAACGCCUCGUUUGAUCUUGCACGGUUCAGAAACCAAGAGAGCAACAUAAUUUUAUGGUGGAUCUGUAGGAGUCAUCAACAAAUGGAAGAUAUGAUUUUGGGAACAUCUACCUUGGGCACAUGAUGCGUGGAAUUGAGUUUCUUUUAAUCAGGCAAGUUCCUUUCUCCGGUUCUUAUUGUGUUACUAAAUCCUAUUAGGAUUAGGAUGCACAGUCCAGGGUGGUUUAGGCCGUUGGCUAUUCUGUAAUGCUACUAUCUGCAGCAACACGACACAAUGGCUACCAUCCAUCUCAGAUCUCUUUCUAUCUAGCUAUAAAAUGAUGGACAAACUUUAACAUACACAAGUUGUAUGGCCUAACGUGGCUUUCAGCUAUCUAUCUAAGCCCUGCAUUUCCAUUAAAUAUGUGCAUAAACAUCAGCACAAUCCGAAUUUUCUCUGUUGUUACUUAUUACUUUGUAAUUUUUAUUUGUUAUUCUCACAUCCAAGUUAUCUUAUAUCUAUCUGUUACGUUCAUGAGUCUUGAAUGCAAUGCAUGCUACACUUAUGCACUGAAGGAUGAUGAAAUUGCUGCAUGUGCUAUCUUAUUGAUGUUUUCUCUGUGCUUCUGGAUUUUUUCACAUCUCUCCAGUUCUGUACCGAGACUUCUGCAAACACCAAUUCUGGCACGUAAUUAAUCCUUGCCUUUUUAUAUUUUACAUACUUUACUAUGUAUUUUGUCAUGAUUGUAACUACUCUGACCCAAAACAGAGAUUAACAGAUCCAAUGCUUUAUAUCGGGAUGCUCUUUAUCAUGUAUGGUAUGUCGAAGAUCACUAUUUUUGUAGCAUUAAUUACCAUCAUUUGGGGGCAUUUAGUAUGGGAUACGAGGCGAUGCUACUCCUUGUUUUGAAAGAGUGGCUAGCCAGUAGGUGUACAACAAGGAUAUUUUAACUAGCGAUGGAGAAGAUGCAAUAUUUGAUGUUCUGUUAGGGAAGACAACAAUGCCCAUAUAUGAGAUGGAUAGGCAGCCUGAGGUGUCCUUAAGAAUGCAUAUGAGUAAGUCACCCUUUUAAAUUUGUAUAUUUGAGAAGACAAUUCUAGCUGCAGAAUCAUGGAAAAACUGCCAUGAACUGCAUCAUUUGA